This is a long non-coding RNA of Oryctolagus cuniculus (rabbit), 3337 nucleotides long. RefSeq lists it as uncharacterized. The record is from RefSeq and is a predicted model, not a curated record. Lineage: Eukaryota; Metazoa; Chordata; Mammalia; Lagomorpha; Leporidae.
UGAGCUCUGUCUUCACCGUGCUUGUAAAUGGAAAGUUUUUAGUAGCCUGGAGGUCAAGCACAUCUGUGUGGAUUUCUGCUGUUCGCUGUUUGCUUUUCUUAACUAGCUGGUUGGUGUUGCCCCGGUUGCGAAGGGGACCGCGUGUGUUACGCCACCUGCAGACUGGGUGAGGACGGUUGAGCUCACCUGGGUAGGAGCCGGCAUGCCGAGAGCACUGGCAGAGUUACAUAGAGAUAGAUCUUCCAGGAUGAAGCCAGGAGCCUGGAACGCCAUCCGGGUCUCCCAUGUGGGUGCAGGGGCCCAAGCACGGGGACCACCGUCUGCUGCCUUCCCAGGUGCAUUAACAGGGAGCUGGAUGAGAAGCAGAGCAGCCAGGACUGGAACCAGUGCUCAGAUCCGCGAUGCGGGCGUCGCAGGCAGCAGCCUGACCUGCGCAGCCGGGAUUCUGGUCCCUAAUGAAAAUUCUUGAUAUCAGAAUUUUACUUAACUUUUGAGGCUCUCCUAAUUAAAAUUCUUGAGUGAGUUACACAUUCACAUAUUUAAAAGCUCAGGAAGUAUGAACUCCUUCGCGGUACAGAGGCUCCCAGCCGCCCCCAGCCUUGGCCGCAGCACAGCAGGUUCUUGUGGCCGCUGGAUCAGCAAACCUGUGUUUCUUUCUCUCUUUCCCACACAGGUGACAGUGGAUUGUACACAUUGUUUCACCCCUUGCUUUUUCUCAUACAAUUGCUUUUUCAUUCAGUAUGCUCUCAGAACAUACAGAUUUCUCUUCCUUUUUUUUUUUAAGAUUUAUUUUUAUUUAUUUGAAAGAGUUACAGAGAUCGGUAGAGACAGAGAGAAAGAGAUCUUCCAUCCUCUGGCUCACUCCCCAAACGGCUGCAACGGCCAGAGCUGAGCUGAUCUGAAGCCUGGAGCUUCUUAGGAGUCUCGCACGUGGGCACAGGGGCCCAAGCACUUGGGCCAUCUUCCACUGCUUUCCCAGGCCAUAGCAGAGAGCUGGAUCAGAAGAGGAGCAGCUGGGACUAGAACCGGUGCCUAUAUGGAAUGCUGCUGCUGCAGGCCAGGGCUUUAACCUGCUGCGCCACAGCGCCGGCCCCAGAACAUACAGAUUCCUUGGUCUUUUGCAGGUUCAUAGUAUUCAGCCCCCUGUUGGUAUACCUGUAGGCUUUUUCCCCAGUCUGUGGCUGCAGAAAACAAAGUCCCACAGUAAUAAACACCUGCGACCCCUCACCAGGUAUCGAAGCUCUUCCAAGCCUGUCAGCAGAUCGCGGCGCUUGUCCUCACACGGCCCUGCCUGUGCUGUCUUUUGCUUUAAAGACUUAUUUUGUUUCUGUCCAUAACUCUGCCUUUCAAAUAGAGUGACAGAGUGAUCCUUCAUCCACUGGUUGACUCCACAAAUGGCCAUGAUGGCCGGGAUGGGCCAAGACAAAGCAAGGAGCCUGGAACUCCAUCCGGGUCUCCUACAUGGGUGGCAGGGGCCCGAGCACUUGGGCCACCUUCCACUGCUUUCCCAGGUGCCUUAGCAGGAAGCUGGACUGGAACCGGUGCUGGUGUUGCAGACGGUGACUUGACCCGCCACAGCGCCGGCCCCUGUUGUUAGCCCUCAUUCGGCUCAGCGGGCAGCAGACCCGGCCUGCAGCUUGCAGAGCCAGGCUUUGGAAUGAGGGUGCUGGCUCCAGAACCCACACUUAGAGAAAAUGUGAAUCCCACACGUUCCCACUGUUCUUCACGGCCGGCCCUCGAGUGUAACAUCUGCAUGCAGCGUUGGUGCCGUGGUGAGAGUGAGCCGCGGACACAAAGCAGCUUUGUUCCUGACGCCUCUUACGUAAGCGGCAUAGCGAUCAAAUUCAGGAACUCACACUGUUGUAAUGCCGUUAUCUAAUCCACAGGCCUUGUGCACAUCCCACCAGUGUUCUCUAGAACAAAAGAUAAAACUUCUUUCCUGUUCCAGGCCCUGAUCCAGGGCCGCACAGCGCAUUUAGUUGUCAUUUCUCUUUAGCCUCGUUUAAUCGGGGAUGGCUCCUCUGUCCUUUGUCUCCCCUGACCUUGAUGCUUCUAAACAGUGCGGUGCUGGUUAGUCUGUAGACUGUCCCCUAAUUGGGGCUUGUUUGUGUCCUCGUGGUCAGAUCCAGGCUGUGCGUCUUGGCACAGGCUCGCAGGAGGCAUGUGACGUGCCCGUUGCUGGCGAGGGCGUCGCCUGAGGCGGGCUUCUUGCAGUUCGGCCGCUCUUCUCCCCGUGUGGAGCCUACGUGGUAUCUGGUUUCUCGUCCUGCGUGGCGUCCGGGGAUGAGUCUGGCUCGGAUCGGUUGUCACGGUGGUUGUCGCCAGUCCCUCGUUCCUUCUGCAUUUAUUUGCUCACAUCCUCCUUCCUUCCUUGUUCAUCCCCAUUCCUGUCAGUGUGGAUUCCCAGAGCCUGGGUUUCCCCAGGGGGUUAUAAGCCAUUGCUAUUUUUGGUUUUAAUGCUCAGAGUUUCUCAGACCUGGCCAAGUUGCCUCCCGUGUCUUUUGAAGCCUCAUUUAUUGACUUACUUGAGGAGUGACAGAGAAGGAGAGACAUCCACUGGUUCACUUCCCAAAUGGCUACAACAGCCAGAUUGGACCAGGCCAAAGCCAGGAGCCCAGACUUCCAUCUGGGUCUUCCACAUGGUUAGCAGGGGCCCAGGUACGUGGACCAUCACCUGCUGCCAUCUCAGGUGCACUGGCAGGGAGCUGGAUGGGAAACAGAGCAGCUGGGACUGGACCAGUGCUCUGAUACGGGGUGCCGGUGUCAGUGGUGCCAGCCCCGCCUGUGUCCUUGUGAUGUUACAUGGCCCCUUCAUUUUUUCUGACACUAACUUACUUUCUGGUACAACUAGAAAUUCCAUGUUCCUCUUCUGUUUUCUUAGCCCUGGAAUUGGCCGUUUCUGAAGGGAGCCCUGGUCCUUUGGUGGGGAAUGAUGUUCGGAGACCAGGACUGGGCUGCAGGGUGCACAGCUGGUACAGUGCACUGCUGCCCGGACUGGCCUGGACUUGGGCCCGCUGCUGGGAAAGCUCUAAGCAGCCGCAUCUCUGGGUCUCGGGUUGUGCUGUGAUCCUGCUGUGUCAGCGCGGUGUUUUCUCCGGUGAGAUUCUCCGCCCUGAGAACGCUGCCCUGUCCCUUGUGGUCGUGACAGUGUAUCCCCUCCGUCCUCUCUGUGCCUCGUGGGAAUGUAACAGCGCAUUCCUUCAUAGAUUCCGGGUGGUUACAUUGUAACACGGCAGUGACCUUCGCUCAUUUUCUCAUUUUAAUACAGAUUUACUCUAGAGAAUGUUUUUUUGAGGGGAAAAAAGCAAACCCGUUAUUUUUUGUAUGUAUAAUUGUA